UUUAUCUUCUCACCUAGAAAUUUUGAAAUUAUCUUUAGGCAAAAAAAAAAAGCUUUAGCAAUCUAUAUAAAUAUGAUAUUACAAGUAAUCUAAAUCUUAUCAUAGAAAUCAUACAUUUAAAUUCCAGUUUUUUGUACAGAAAAUAAAAAUUCUACACCCAAAUAAACAACUAUAAGCUAAGAUCAUGUAUAGAAAUUCCCUUACAUAUCAAAUCUAAAAGAACUUUCUUUUAGUAAAUUAUCUACACAAGGAUUUGUAGAAUUUUGGACUUAACGCAAGAGUUCAGACAUGCUAUGUAGCCACUUGGGCUAAGAAACUUCCUGACCACGACCGUCAUGGCGUCAUCAAGUUGAAUGUCUUAGCUGUCUCCACCACUACUAUAUCAAAGUCAGUCAAAAUCAUUACUUGAUGUUACCCAACUACUACCUUAUCCCUUUUAACGUGGCAUCUCUCUUCUUCGUCCACGCUAAUUUUUGUUUAUUAAUGAAAACAUUUAAAACAAAUAUACAACGCGAGGCUUAUCCUAUUUGCUUAACCACUAUAAAUGUGUUAUGUGAAAACACGCACCUACAUUAAAUAAAUUUUAUUUUGUCUACAAUUUAUUAUUUUUGUACGAAAAAAUAUAACAUACAUAAUAAAACUCAAA
Molecule: long non-coding RNA, 646 nt
Filed under: Brassica napus (rape)
Lineage: Eukaryota; Viridiplantae; Streptophyta; Magnoliopsida; Brassicales; Brassicaceae
Description: long non-coding RNA (BNAP_LNC021824)
Source: RNAcentral